This 490-nucleotide ribosomal RNA is filed under the name uncultured bacterium. RNAcentral describes it as "bacterial SSU rRNA". It matches the Rfam family "Bacterial small subunit ribosomal RNA", at positions 791 to 1273 of the family's 1533-position model. The record is from RNAcentral.
UAGUCCACGCCGUAAACGAUGGAUACUAGAUGUCGGAGACUCUUGCCUCUUCGGUGUCGUAGCUAACGCGUUAAGUAUCCCGCCUGGGGACUACGGCCGCAAGGCUAAAACCUAAAGAAAUUGACGGGGGCCCGCACAAGCGGUGGAGGAUGUGGUUUAAUCCGAUGCAACGCGUAGAACCUUACCUGGGCUUGACAUCCUGUGCUACCUAAGGAAACUUAGGGUUCUCUUCGGAGACGCAGUGACAGGUGCUGCAUGGCUGUCGUCAGCUCGUGUCGUGAGAUGUUGGGUUAAGUCCCGCAACGAGCGCAACCCUUGCUAUUAGUUGCCAUCAAGUAAUGUUGGGCACUCUAAUGGGACCGCUAGCCGAUAAGGGCAGAGGAAGGAGGGGGAUGAAGUCAAGUCUGCAUGGGCCCUUAGCCCAGGGGCUACACACGUCCUACAAUGGGCUAGUACAGAGCGCAGCGAAACCGCGAGGGUUGAGCCAAUC